GAGCUUUGUCGGAUAGAAAUCGACCUAAUGCAAGUGCAUGUAUACAUGUACAUUGCUAAUACUUUGAUUGAUUUUGUGACAUUCAAAUACGGAAAUUAAAGAUGGAUGUUGGUCUGAUUUGAGAAUUUUUUGUCUACCCAAAAUUAGUUAACAGAUGUUUGGAUAUUUAUUUGCAUAAGGUCGAUUUCUAUCCGACAAAGCUCAUUUAUUGAUUGAUGUUUUCUGAACGUACAGUGACAAAUAUGUCAUGCAGAUUUAAAACCGGGAGGAAAAUAUUAAAAAAAAUGAAUAAGAUUUUACAUGGGUUGUCG
RNAcentral lists this long non-coding RNA (311 nucleotides) under Mytilus galloprovincialis (Mediterranean mussel). Lineage: Eukaryota; Metazoa; Mollusca; Bivalvia; Mytilida; Mytilidae. The record is from RNAcentral.